GCCGGGCAUGGUGGCUCAUGCCUGUAAUCCCAGGACUUUGGGAGGCUGAGGUGGGUGGAUCACCUGAGGUCAGGAGUUCGAGACCAGCCUGGCCAACAUGGUGAAACCCCGUCUCUA
This is an unclassified non-coding RNA of Pongo abelii (Sumatran orangutan), 117 nucleotides long. It matches the Rfam family "Metazoan signal recognition particle RNA". Rfam says of the family: The signal recognition particle (SRP) is a universally conserved ribonucleoprotein. It is involved in the co-translational targeting of proteins to membranes. The eukaryotic SRP consists of a 300-nucleotide 7S RNA and six proteins: SRPs 72, 68, 54, 19, 14, and 9. NCBI's taxonomy places the organism in Eukaryota, Metazoa, Chordata, Mammalia, Primates, Hominidae. The record is from Ensembl.